CGUAUGUACGUCGAACUAUCAAAGAGUGAAUGAGAUAGAUAGAGAGAGAAAAAGAGAGAGAUAGAGAGAGAGAGAGAGAGAGAGAGAGAGAGAGAGAAAGAGAGAGGAUUUAUUUCUUUAAAGAACAAAAAGAUAAGAGACAAAUUUGAUCCUUCUCAAUUUUGCGGAUAAGAGAAGAAGUCUCUCCCUGGACCACUCGCGAGAAUUCAGUAUCGGAUGCGAGCAAUCUCGCGUCUCUCGUUGUCUCAGUGACGUAAUUGUAGUCGGUGAAUCGCCACUGUCGCUGGAGGCGGCGUUGCAUAAAACCGUUGGGCAAGGAAAAAAUUUUUAUUCGGUGAUGGAAUGAAAAGUUAUUCAAAACCGCAUCGACGUUUCUUCGACAUUUUAUAUCUACUAUAUCAUCGAUCAGUUUACCGAUAUUAUAUAAAUAUAAUCGAGUUUGAUCGAGGAGGAACGCUUCGGGGAUAUCGGAUUAUUUCGAUUGAUCGAUCUAUAUCGAUCAGAUCAAUCGAUCUAUUGUCGAUCGAUCGUUCGACUUCUGGAGAAAACGAGGACUAUUAUCUAGAUAUCCUCGAGAAAAUCGGAGCACGAAACGAUCCGUUUUCUCUUUCUCUCUCGUUCUACCGGUGAAAAGAAGCGUGCAGAUCUGCAGAGACUGAAACCCGUUUCGCGGUAGGAACCUUGUACGAGAGUUGCAUACCGAAAGCGUGGGACCAGUGACCCGUGGUGCAAAGCACGAACACCACCUAGAAUAUCCGACUCGCAUCUUUACUUUACGAGCUCUCAGAUUUUCUCUCUUCUCUAUCCAUCCGAUAUUACAUACAUAUACAUACAUAUAUAGAUAUAUAUAUAUGUGUAUAAAAAUAUAUUAUACAUAAUAUACAUAAUAUAUUAUAUAUA
Long non-coding RNA from Vespa crabro (European hornet), 900 nucleotides. RefSeq lists it as uncharacterized. Lineage: Eukaryota; Metazoa; Arthropoda; Insecta; Hymenoptera; Vespidae. The record is from RefSeq and is a predicted model, not a curated record. The transcript is spliced from 3 exons.